UAAAAUGCUAUUUUAUUAAUACGAUUUUAAAAUCUUUGGAAAUGAACAGUUGAAAUGCUGCAGUGUGAUAGUUUUAAGAGUCCAGCCUGUGGGAAUCCAUUUUUCAUGGCUACUACUGGUGAAGUCUGUGCUGUUUUAAGGAUUGAUAGAAACACUUCAGAUGUCAAUACUUCAUGUAUCAUAAGGACCUCUUUGCCCAGAGCAUAUUGUUUGGAGCAGAAGGCGAGUAGUUCACCAGCCAUUGCAUCAAUUGGUUUAGGUUUUGUCAAUGCAGCUGUCAGUGUUUCCUGCUGCUCCACUGAUCACUGUAACAAUGCCAGUCUGCCUGACCCCAACAAUGACCCAAAUGGAUUAAAAUGUGUCUCAUGCAACAGCAGCACAGAUACACAGUGUAAUACUAAAGUGUCCUGUGUGGGAGUCCAGGACCUCUGCAUUGAUACAGGUGUAUUGUCUUAAACUACUAUUUUCCUAUUUAACUGCUUUGUGUUUUAUGGUUAGAUUAUAUGUGAAUUAUGUGAACAACUUAUCAUUUAAGCUUACUGACCUCUAGUAAAUGUUUUAAUUGCUUUGCAAGUUAUCUUUCUGCAAAGCCUAGUUGACCGUACAUUAGGAAAACAAUAAAUACUCUAUCAUGUUCCA
Long non-coding RNA from Cyprinus carpio (common carp), 639 nucleotides. The record is from Ensembl. NCBI's taxonomy places the organism in Eukaryota, Metazoa, Chordata, Actinopteri, Cypriniformes, Cyprinidae.